Molecule: non-coding RNA, 472 nt
Organism: Coturnix japonica (Japanese quail)
Lineage: Eukaryota; Metazoa; Chordata; Aves; Galliformes; Phasianidae
Source: RefSeq, a predicted model, not a curated record
UCCAGUAAAAGCAGGAGGUAUCAGUCGCUCUCCUGCCUACUCUGUUCUUCUUCCCCUUGCCUCUGUUCUCAGCUGCUUGAUCUUUUCCUCCUUUGCGUCACUGUGGCACUCAUCUGUUCGUACGAUACCCUCUGGAUGCCACCACCUCAUUGGAAGACAAGGAACAGGCAGUAGAAGACAUAAGAAGUGUUCUGAGAAGAGAGACACAGGAUAUGGCAGUAUUAUUGUCAACUUUAAUUUCAGUAUUUUUGGAUUUUCAUGUUCUGGUUAGCUGUUGAAGAAAAUGGAGAGAACAUAAGUAACCCCUAAGAAAGCAUGUAUUUUCAAGUCUUCAAUGUGAAAACUUCAUUUAUGAUUAAUUGUGGGUAAUGCAGUUGGAUGGUUUGCACAUGGUCAGAAAGCUUUUCUAUUUAAUCCCUUAGUGUGAUGUUUACUUCUUUCUUUAAAAAAUAAAAAUAAAAAAAAUAGCUUU